CCUAUGCUGCCGAGAAAAGCCUCUAGCGAGCUGGUACAUGGCCCGUACCCCAAACCGACACAGGUGGUCGGGUAGAGAAUACUAAGGCGAUCGAGAGAACUGUGGUUAAGGAACUCGGCAAAAUGCCCCCGUAACUUCGGGAGAAGGGGGACCAGUCCUGGUGACGACAUUUACUGUCUGAGCUGGGGUUGGUCGCAGAGACCAGAGAGAAGCGACUGUUUACUAAAAACACAGGUCCGUGCGAAGUCGUAAGACGAUGUAUACGGACUGACGCCUGCCCGGUGCUGGAAGGUUAAGAGGACCGGUCAGCCACUUCGGUGGCGAAGCAGAGAAUUUAAGCCCCAGUAAACGGCGGUGGUAACUAUAACCAUCCUAAGGUAGCGAAAUUCCUUGUCGGGUAAGUUCCGACCUGCACGAAUGGCGUAACGACUUCUCUGCUGUCUCAACCACAGACUCGGCGAAAUUGCAGUACGAGUAAAGAUGCUCGUUACGCGCGGCAGGACGAAAAGACCCCGGGACCUUCACUAUAGCUUGGUAUUGGUGUUCGGUUCGGUUUGUGUAGGAUAGGUGGGAGACUGUGAAACUCGCACGCCAGUGUGGGUGGAGUCAUUGUUGAAAUACCACUCUGACCGUAUUGGACAUCUAACCUCGGACCAUGAUCUGGUUCAGGGACAGUGCCUGGUGGGUAGUUUAACUGGGGCGGUUGCCUCCCAAAAAGUAACGGAGGCGCCCAAAGGUUCCCUCAGCCUGGUUGGCAAUCAGGUGUUGAGUGUAAGUGCACAAGGGAGCUUGACUGUGAGACGUACAUGUCGAGCAGGGACGAAAGUCGGGACUAGUGAUCCGGCACCGGCAAGUGGAAGCGGUGUCGCUCAACGGAUAAAAGGUACCCCGGGGAUAACAGGCUGAUCUUCCCCAAGAGUCCAUAUCGACGGGAUGGUUUGGCACCUCGAUGUCGGCUCGUCGCAUCCUGGGGCUGGAGUAGGUCCCAAGGGUUGGGCUGUUCGCCCAUUAAAGCGGCACGCGAGCUGGGUUUAGAACGUCGUGAGACAGUUCGGUCUCUAUCCGCCGCGCGCGUAAGAAACUUGAGGAAACCUGUCCCUAGUACGAGAGGACCGGGACGGACGAACCUCUGGUGUGCCAGUUGUUCCACCAGGAGCACCGCUGGUUAGCUACGUUCGGAAGGGAUAACCGCUGAAAGCAUCUAAGCGGGAAGCCUGUUCCAAGAUGAGGUCUCUCACCACCUAGCGUGGUUAAGGCCCCCCACAGACCAUGGGGUUGAUAGGCCAGAACUGUAAGCACAGCAAUGUGUUCAGGUGACUGGUACUAAUCGGCCGAGGACUUACAACG
This 1347-nucleotide ribosomal RNA is filed under the name metagenome. RNAcentral's name for it is "bacterial LSU rRNA". It matches the Rfam family "Bacterial large subunit ribosomal RNA", at positions 1599 to 2925 of the family's 2925-position model. The record is from RNAcentral.